UACCAGACUCCUACGGGAGGCAGCAGUGGGGAAUAUUGCACAAUGGGGGGAACCCUGAUGCAGCGACGCCGCGUGGGUGAAGGAGUAUUUCGGUAUGUAAAGCCCUAUCAGCAGGGAAGAACAAUGACGGUACCUGACUAAGAAGCACCGGCUAAAUACGUGCCAGCAGCCGCGGUAAUACGUAUGGUGCAAGCGUUAUCCGGAUUUACUGGGUGUAAAGGGGGCGCAGACGGCGAUGCAAGCCAGGAGUGAAAGCCCGGGGCCCAACCCCGGGACUGCUCUUGGAACUGCGGGGCUGGAGUGCAGGAGGGGCAGGCGGAAUUCCUGGUGUAGCGGUGAAAUGCGUAGAUAUCAGGAGGAACACCGGUGGCGAAGGCGGCCUGCUGGACUGCAACUGACGUUGAGGCCCGAAAGCGUGGGGAGCAAACAGGAUUAGAUACCCGGGUAGA
RNAcentral lists this ribosomal RNA (449 nucleotides) under uncultured bacterium. RNAcentral's name for it is "bacterial SSU rRNA". It matches the Rfam family "Bacterial small subunit ribosomal RNA", at positions 329 to 794 of the family's 1533-position model. The record is from RNAcentral.